This 508-nucleotide ribosomal RNA is filed under the name uncultured Glomus. RNAcentral's name for it is "SSU rRNA". It matches the Rfam family "Eukaryotic small subunit ribosomal RNA", at positions 569 to 1078 of the family's 1831-position model. The record is from RNAcentral. Lineage: Eukaryota; Fungi; Glomeromycota; Glomeromycetes; Glomerales; Glomeraceae.
AGCAGCCGCGGUAAUUCCAGCUCCAAUAGCGUAUAUUAAAGUUGUUGCAGUUAAAAAGCUCGUAGUUGAAUUUCGGGAUCAAUAUGUCGGUCGUGCCUCUGGUACGUACUGGUAUCAUUGAUUUCUCCCUUCUGACGAACCAUGAUUUCAUUUAUUUGGUGUCAUGGGGAGUUAGGACUGUUACUUUGAAAAAAUUAGAGUGUUUAAAGCAGGCAUUAGCUUGAAUACAUUAGCAUGGAAUAAUGAAAUAGGACGUUUGACCCUAUUUUGUUGGUUUCUAGGAUCGACGUAAUGAUUAAUAGGGAUAGUUGGGGGCAUUAGUAUUCAAUUGUCAGAGGUGAAAUUCUUGGAUUUAUUGAAGACUAACUACUGCGAAAGCAUUUGCCAAGGAUGUUUUCAUUAAUCAAGAACGAAAGUUAGGGGAUCGAAGACGAUCAGAUACCGUCGUAGUCUUAACCAUAAACUAUGCCGACUAGGGAUCGGAUGAUGUUAAUUUUAUAAUGACUCA